ACAGAACAUACCGAAGAGAAAACGAGGGACUUUGCAACCCGCGGGCGUACCUUCCUUGUGAUUGGAAGUUAUGUGGCUCCCGACAGGUGUCAUGUAACAGCUAGAAAAAACCCUCAUCCAAGAGCACCCUCUCGUUUACCCUUCCCUACCUUUUUCCUCCAGGGACGAUUCUAGAGUGUCUUCUCUUCGAUCGAAGGGUGCAAGAAGUUAGAAGAUGAUUUGAAACACUGAAGAAGCCGGAGAAGGAACGGAAGCAAGUUGAUCGAUAUGAGGUUGUUUCAUGUUGCAUUGCAUGCUUCUGCUGCAUGUCUCGGGUUCUAGUUCUUUAUAUCAACCAUCUGGAUUGCAGUACGAGGAAUACUGCAUUCCGAUGAAACAAUCAAAUCAGAGACUGCUGGCACCAAAAGAAGGUGAUUCCUCGAGUUACUGGAGCCUUUGGAUUCACAAACUUGUUCAUCUCCUGUUAUCAGGUAGUAUUUGCAAUUUGAUUCUUUCUAUAGAGAUAUGAACUCAACUCAUUGGAUUCUAGUACCACCAUUUUCUACUUGACAUGCAGCUGCUUCAUAGUCCAUGCUGACAGAGGUGAUGUAUAAUGACACAGUCUCUGGUCUUUAGGUUUCUUUUUAUGUAAUUCCUGCCAAGCAAUCUAGAGUUUACAACCCGUAUUCAAAUAUGUCGAGUGAAUGACUAGUGGUAUGAACGCACACUUGCCACUUGCCAUCCACGAACCAUGAUUGAAUAGGGAUAUCAUCAUCGGAUAUCUUUUAGAUUAUAAAAGUUCUAUUCGAUUGUUGUUAAAUGAAGGAUGCUUUAUGGAUCUCAAUAUUAGAAAGUUCAGAAAUUUUAUACA
This is a long non-coding RNA of Musa acuminata subsp. malaccensis (wild Malaysian banana), 850 nucleotides long. RefSeq lists it as uncharacterized. The record is from RefSeq and is a predicted model, not a curated record. NCBI's taxonomy places the organism in Eukaryota, Viridiplantae, Streptophyta, Magnoliopsida, Zingiberales, Musaceae.